UACGUAGGGGGCAAGCGUUGUCCGGAUUUAUUGGGCGUAAAGAGCGUGUAGGCGGCCUUACAGGUCAGCUGUGAAAACUCGAGGCUCAACCUCGAGACGUCGGUUGAAACCGUAUGGCUAGAGUCCGGAAGAGGAGAGUGGAAUUCCCGGUGUAGCGGUGAAAUGCGCAGAUAUCGGGAGGAACACCAGUGGCGAAGGCGACUACCUGGCCUGUUCUUGACGCUGAGGCGCGAAAGCUAGGGGAGCAAACGGG
RNAcentral lists this ribosomal RNA (253 nucleotides) under uncultured bacterium. RNAcentral's name for it is "partial 16S ribosomal RNA". It matches the Rfam family "Bacterial small subunit ribosomal RNA", at positions 524 to 776 of the family's 1533-position model. The record is from RNAcentral.